UUUUCUUUACCAUCAAAUGUCCUGGUCAAACUCCCAUCUUGAUAAAAUAUUAGCAAAUCUCACAUUCGCAUACUUUAUUUAGCUCCCCAUAAUCAGUUAAUCACAUCUCAUCUCAUAAUCCAAACUCUAAUCACUAUUCAAAGGACUGAAACAAACACAAAGAAGAAGACAUAGGAGUGUGUAUAAUUGGUGAAGACGCCAAAACAGAAGCAAAAGCAAAAACUCACACACCACUUUCCUUUCUUCUUCUUAACUCCAACAAAAAUGGCCAACACCCAAACAAGACCUAAUUAAACAAAAGAAAAUCAGAGAAAAAGACCACUUACCACAGAUGACAACCCACAAACGGCCAAGGUAGCGAAGCAGAAGCAGCGAAGCACAACCCAUAAUCAGUCAAGGCAGUGAAACAGAAGUAGCGAGGUAGAAGCAGCAAAGCAGAAGCAGAACAGGGGAGAAGCAGCGAACCAGAAGCAGAAGCAAAACAGGGGAGAAGCAAGGAGGCCACAGAGAACGGAGAAGCAGUGACACCACAGAGAGGGGAGAAGUAGCGAUGCUGCAGAGAGGAGACACUCAGCGAUGCUGGGAAGAAGGACGCAGCGACAAUUUCGGGAAGAAGGAUGCAGCAACGAUUUCGGGAAGAAGGACAGCGCACCGGGAACUCUUUCCUUCGACAGUGGAUUAGUCCUACAUGGUGAGCUGCGAUGCGAUGAUGGCUUUGAGUCUGAUGGCCUCGAUUGAUGUGGGUUAGGGUUGAUGGUGCAGGGAGGAAGAGCGCGCUCUGAUGGUUUGUUUUGAAUAGAUUAGAGUCAUUGGUUAUGUUACAGUUUAUC
RNAcentral lists this long non-coding RNA (830 nucleotides) under Arachis ipaensis. RNAcentral describes it as "long non-coding RNA (AIPA_LNC000089)". Lineage: Eukaryota; Viridiplantae; Streptophyta; Magnoliopsida; Fabales; Fabaceae. The record is from RNAcentral.